UUAAUUUGAGAGUUUGAUCCUGGCUCAGGACGAACGCUGGCGGCGUGCCUAAUACAUGCAAGUCGAACGAACUCUGGUAUUGAUUGGUGCUUGCAUCAUGAUUUACAUUUGAGUGAGUGGCGAACUGGUGAGUAACACGUGGGAAACCUGCCCAGAAGCGGGGGAUAACACCUGGAAACAGAUGCUAAUACCGCAUAACAACUUGGACCGCAUGGUCCGAGUUUGAAAGAUGGCUUCGGCUAUCACUUUUGGAUGGUCCCGCGGCGUAUUAGCUAGAUGGUGGGGUAACGGCUCACCAUGGCAAUGAUACGUAGCCGACCUGAGAGGGUAAUCGGCCACAUUGGGACUGAGACACGGCCCAAACUCCUACGGGAGGCAGCAGUAGGGAAUCUUCCACAAUGGACGAAAGUCUGAUGGAGCAACGCCGCGUGAGUGAAGAAGGGUUUCGGCUCGUAAAACUCUGUUGUUAAAGAAGAACAUAUCUGAGAGUAACUGUUCAGGUAUUGACGGUAUUUAACCAGAAAGCCACGGCUAACUACGUGCCAGCAGCCGCGGUAAUACGUAGGUGGCAAGCGUUGUCCGGAUUUAUUGGGCGUAAAGCGAGCGCAGGCGGUUUUUUAAGUCUGAUGUGAAAGCCUUCGCUCAACCGAAGAAGUGCAUCGGAAACUGGGAAACUUGAGUGCAGAAGAGGACAGUGGAACUCCAUGUGUAGCGGUGAAAUGCGUAGAUAUAUGGAAGAACACCAGUGGCGAAGGCGGCUGUCUGGUCUGUAACUGACGCUGAGGCUCGAAAGUAUGGGUAGCAAACAGGAUUAGAUACCCUGGUAGUCCAUACCGUAAACGAUGAAUGCUAAGUGUUGGAGGGUUUCCGCCCUUCAGUGCUGCAGCUAACGCAUUAAGCAUUCCGCCUGGGGAGUACGGCCGCAAGGCUGAAACUCAAAGGAAUUGACGGGGCCCGCACAAGCGGUGGAGCAUGUGGUUUAAUUCGAAGCUACGCGAAGAACCUUACCAGGUCUUGACAUACUAUGCAAAUCUAAGAGAUUAGACGUUCCCUUCGGGGACAUGGAUACAGGUGGUGCAUGGUUGUCGUCAGCUCGUGUCGUGAGAUGUUGGGUUAAGUCCCGCAACGAGCGCAACCCUUAUUAUCAGUUGCCAGCAUUAAGUUGGGCACUCUGGUGAGACUGCCGGUGACAAACCGGAGGAAGGUGGGGAUGACGUCAAAUCAUCAUGCCCCUUAUGACCUGGGCUACACACGUGCUACAAUGGAUGGUACAACGAGUUGCGAACUCGCGAGAGUAAGCUAAUCUCUUAAAGCCAUUCUCAGUUCGGAUUGUAGGCUGCAACUCGCCUACAUGAAGUCGGAAUCGCUAGUAAUCGCGGAUCAGCAUGCCGCGGUGAAUACGUUCCCGGGCCUUGUACACACCGCCCGUCACACCAUGAGAGUUUGUAACACCCAAAGUCGGUGGGGUAACCUUUUAGGAACCAGCCGCCUAAGGUGGGACAGAUGAUUAGGGUGAAGUCGUAACAAGGUAGCCGUAGGAGAACCUGCGGCUGGAUCACCUCCUUUCUAAGGAA
RNAcentral lists this ribosomal RNA (1574 nucleotides) under Lactiplantibacillus plantarum. Its description in RNAcentral is "Lactobacillus plantarum 16S ribosomal RNA". It matches the Rfam family "Bacterial small subunit ribosomal RNA". The record is from RNAcentral. Lineage: Bacteria; Bacillati; Bacillota; Bacilli; Lactobacillales; Lactobacillaceae.